UACGAAGGGGGCUAGCGUUGCUCGGAAUCACUGGGAGUAAAGCGCACGUAGGCGGCUUUCUAAGUCAGGGGUGAAAUCCUGGAGCUCAACUCCAGAACUGCCUUUGAUACUGGGAAGCUCGAGUCCGGAAGAGGUGAGUGGAACUCCGAGUGUAGAGGUGAAAUUCGUAGAUAUUCGCAAGAACACCAGUGGCGAAGGCGGCUCACUGGCCCGGUACUGACGCUGAGGUGCGAAAGCGUGGGGAGCAAACAGG
Molecule: ribosomal RNA, 253 nt
Filed under: uncultured bacterium
Lineage: Bacteria
Description: partial 16S ribosomal RNA
Rfam family: Bacterial small subunit ribosomal RNA
Source: RNAcentral